Non-coding RNA from Pocillopora verrucosa, 855 nucleotides. The record is from RefSeq and is a predicted model, not a curated record. Lineage: Eukaryota; Metazoa; Cnidaria; Anthozoa; Scleractinia; Pocilloporidae.
ACCGACACCGCCACCGCCGACAAGCAUCUAUGAAAAGCCUCAUUUAGUGCAGAUCGAAACUAAAUAUCAACUAUGGAACCUUGGGCAAAGUGGUCUCGUUGUGUUGAAUAAUGAAGGUACCGUAGAUUGCAAAGGGACUUUGGGGGCCGCUGGGAGUACGUAGAUUGAUCUCUCUUUUACUAGCGCAAUUAUGAACUGCCCAUAUCUGAUUUAACGUUUUUAUGUCUCAUGAUAACACAUCUGCUUGCAUAGACUGUAUUGUCCUUGGCGUCGACAGUUUAUUACUGGUAGGAGAUGGAGCAAGCAGAACUAUCACAGCAAAGAAUAUAGAUGACAUUGAUGGAAACGGUGAAUCUUUUGAGCAUGAUUACUUCUGGAGCUUCACGAUGUUCAAGCACUAUAAUGGCGGCCUCUACCUGGGAUGCGACAACUCUGGAAACGCAACACUGUUUGGAGAUACGGCAGUUGAGUAUCCAGAUCCUCGAAUUCUUUUUGUCCUUACCAAAGUUAAAUAACUUCAAAAGACAACUGAUGAAGAGUCAUGGCCUUUCACGUUUUUUCACUGCAAAGUCAGCUUUUAUGCAACAAUUACUUUUUGGGAAGAUAUUUAAAUUUCAAUAUUAAAACUAGUAUACAGAUGUCUUGCAUAAAUAUAUGUCCGAGAUUAACUUUGAUCGUAUCAAGAGACAAAGGUUGAACAGGCCAAAGGUUUACUCUGGCCUUCAUGGUAUACUCAUUGUUAUCAUGGAAUUGAUAUGAUCAGUAGGAUACGCAAGUAUACAUAGAAGAGCUCCAGUUGUAAAAUCUUGUUGAGCCUACACUCAUCGUCCUUAAUCCGUUGCAAAUCAACUGCAU